RNAcentral lists this ribosomal RNA (847 nucleotides) under Lactiplantibacillus plantarum. Its description in RNAcentral is "bacterial SSU rRNA". It matches the Rfam family "Bacterial small subunit ribosomal RNA", at positions 383 to 1223 of the family's 1533-position model. Lineage: Bacteria; Bacillati; Bacillota; Bacilli; Lactobacillales; Lactobacillaceae. The record is from RNAcentral.
CUGAUGGAGCAACGCCGCGUGAGUGAAGAAGGGUUUCGGCUCGUAAAACUCUGUUGUUAAAGAAGAACAUAUCUGAGAGUAACUGUUCAGGUAUUGACGGUAUUUAACCAGAAAGCCACGGCUAACUACGUGCCAGCAGCCGCGGUAAUACGUAGGUGGCAAGCGUUGUCCGGAUUUAUUGGGCGUAAAGCGAGCGCAGGCGGUUUUUUAAGUCUGAUGUGAAAGCCUUCGGCUCAACCGAAGAAGUGCAUCGGAAACUGGGAAACUUGAGUGCAGAAGAGGACAGUGGAACUCCAUGUGUAGCGGUGAAAUGCGUAGAUAUAUGGAAGAACACCAGUGGCGAAGGCGGCUGUCUGGUCUGUAACUGACGCUGAGGCUCGAAAGUAUGGGUAGCAAACAGGAUUAGAUACCCUGGUAGUCCAUACCGUAAACGAUGAAUGCUAAGUGUUGGAGGGUUUCCGCCCUUCAGUGCUGCAGCUAACGCAUUAAGCAUUCCGCCUGGGGAGUACGGCCGCAAGGCUGAAACUCAAAGGAAUUGACGGGGGCCCGCACAAGCGGUGGAGCAUGUGGUUUAAUUCGAAGCUACGCGAAGAACCUUACCAGGUCUUGACAUACUAUGCAAAUCUAAGAGAUUAGACGUUCCCUUCGGGGACAUGGAUACAGGUGGUGCAUGGUUGUCGUCAGCUCGUGUCGUGAGAUGUUGGGUUAAGUCCCGCAACGAGCGCAACCCUUAUUAUCAGUUGCCAGCAUUAAGUUGGGCACUCUGGUGAGACUGCCGGUGACAAACCGGAGGAAGGUGGGGAUGACGUCAAAUCAUCAUGCCCCUUAUGACCUGGGCUACACACGU